RNAcentral lists this small RNA (133 nucleotides) under Klebsiella quasipneumoniae subsp. similipneumoniae. RNAcentral describes it as "RtT sRNA". It matches the Rfam family "RtT RNA". Rfam says of the family: This family represents a bacterial cis-regulatory element known as RtT RNA. The exact function of RtT is unknown although it is thought that it may be involved in changing the cellular response in relation to amino acid starvation. RNAcentral also lists the same sequence under 1 other name. The record is from RNAcentral. Lineage: Bacteria; Pseudomonadati; Pseudomonadota; Gammaproteobacteria; Enterobacterales; Enterobacteriaceae.
AUAUUCUGCCCCACGGGAAAGGAUGAGAAGCUUCGACCAGGGUUCGACUCGAGCGUAGCGAGAGAACGUUGCCGAAGGCAACGGCCCGAAGGGCGAGGCGCUUUAGCGCCGAGUCAUCCUUCCCCCACCGCUG